This 309-nucleotide unclassified non-coding RNA is filed under the name uncultured fungus. Its description in RNAcentral is "partial contains 5.8S ribosomal RNA and internal transcribed spacer 2". The stretch from base 1 to 133 matches the Rfam family "5.8S ribosomal RNA", at positions 22 to 154 of the family's 154-position model. The record is from RNAcentral. Lineage: Eukaryota; Fungi.
UGGUUCCAGCAUCGAUGAAGAACGCAGCGAAAUGCGAUAAGUAAUGUGAAUUGCAGAAUUCAGUGAAUCAUCGAAUCUUUGAACGCACAUUGCGCCCCUUGGCAUUCCGGGGGGCAUGCCCGUUCGAGCGUCAUUUCACCACUCAAGCCCAGCUUGGUAUUGGACCCCGGGGACGACCCGGGUCUCAAAGUCGUCGGCCGGACAGCCCGGAUCUUAGCGUCACAGAAUCAAUUCGCUACAGAGAGGGGCGAUCCGCGCCGGAAACAUUUAUUAAAGGUUGACCUCGGAUCGGGUAGGAAUACCCGCUGA